CCUACGGGUGGCUGCAGUGGGGAAUAUUGGACAAUGGGGGGAACCCUGAUCCAGCCAUGCCGCGUGUGUGAAGAAGGCCCUCGGGUUGUAAAGCACUUUCAGUGAGGAAGAACGCCUGGUGGUUAAUACCCAUCAGGAAAGACAUCACUCACAGAAGAAGCACCGGCUAACUCCGUGCCAGCAGCCGCGGUAAUACGGAGGGUGCGAGCGUUAAUCGGAAUUACUGGGCGUAAAGCGCGCGUAGGUGGCUUGAUAAGCCGGUUGUGAAAGCCCCGGGCUCAACCUGGGAACGGCAUCCGGAACUGUCAAGCUAGAGUGCAGGAGAGGAAGGUAGAAUUCCCGGUGUAGCGGUGAAAUGCGUAGAGAUCGGGAAGAAUACCAGUGGCGAAGGCGGCCUUCUGGACUGACACUGACACUGAGGUGCGAAAGCGUGGGUAGCAAACAGGAUUAGAUACCCUAGUAGUC
RNAcentral lists this ribosomal RNA (465 nucleotides) under Vreelandella stevensii. Its description in RNAcentral is "partial 16S ribosomal RNA". It matches the Rfam family "Bacterial small subunit ribosomal RNA", at positions 338 to 795 of the family's 1533-position model. Lineage: Bacteria; Pseudomonadati; Pseudomonadota; Gammaproteobacteria; Oceanospirillales; Halomonadaceae. The record is from RNAcentral.